RNAcentral lists this ribosomal RNA (468 nucleotides) under uncultured bacterium. Its description in RNAcentral is "partial 16S ribosomal RNA". It matches the Rfam family "Bacterial small subunit ribosomal RNA", at positions 28 to 507 of the family's 1533-position model. The record is from RNAcentral.
GACGAACGCUGGCGGCGUGCUUAACACAUGCAAGUCGAACGGAAAGGCCCUGCUUUUGCGGGGUGCUCGAGUGGCGAACGGGUGAGUAACACGUGAGUAACCUGCCCUUGACUUUGGGAUAACUUCAGGAAACUGGGGCUAAUACCGGAUAGGAGCUCCUGCUGCAUGGUGGGGGUUGGAAAGUUUCGGCGGUUGGGGAUGGACUCGCGGCUUAUCAGCUUGUUGGUGGGGUAGUGGCUUACCAAGGCUUUGACGGGUAGCCGGCCUGAGAGGGUGACCGGCCACAUUGGGACUGAGAUACGGCCCAGACUCCUACGGGAGGCAGCAGUGGGGAAUAUUGCACAAUGGGCGGAAGCCUGAUGCAGCAACGCCGCGUGCGGGAUGACGGCCUUCGGGCUGUAAACCGCUUUCGCCUGUGACGAAGCGUGAGUGACGGUAAUGGGUAAAGAAGCACCGGCUAACUACGUG